RNAcentral lists this ribosomal RNA (500 nucleotides) under uncultured Glomeromycotina. Its description in RNAcentral is "partial small subunit ribosomal RNA". It matches the Rfam family "Eukaryotic small subunit ribosomal RNA", at positions 591 to 1092 of the family's 1831-position model. Lineage: Eukaryota; Fungi; Glomeromycota. The record is from RNAcentral.
CCAAUAGCGUAUAUUAAAGUUGUUGCAGUUAAAAAGCUCGUAGUUGAACUUCAGGCCUGUCCAGAUGGUCCGCCUUAAUUGGUGUGUACUGUCCUUGGGUGGGUCCUACCUUCUGGCGAAGCGGCAUGGCCUUAAUUGGUUGUGUCGGGGAACCAGGACUUUUACUGUGAAAAAAUUAGAGUGUUCAAAGCAGGCAAAUAUGCUCGAAUACAUUAGCAUGGAAUAAUGGAAUAGGACGAUGGUUCUAUUUUGUUGGUUCUAGGACCGUUGUAAUGAUUAAUAGGGAUAGUUGGGGGCAUUAGUAUUCAAUUGUCAGAGGUGAAAUUCUUGGAUUUAUUGAAGACUAACUACUGCGAAAGCAUUUGCCAAGGAUGUUUUCAUUAAUCAAGAACGAAAGUUAGGGGAUCGAAGACGAUCAGAUACCGUCGUAGUCUUAACCAUAAACUAUGCCGACUAGGAAUCGGGCGAUGUUGACAAAAUGACUCGCUCGGCACCUCAUG